Prunus dulcis (almond) is the source of this 3195-nucleotide RNA transcript. It is a transcript of the gene named disease resistance protein RPV1-like, with no coding region annotated. NCBI's taxonomy places the organism in Eukaryota, Viridiplantae, Streptophyta, Magnoliopsida, Rosales, Rosaceae. The transcript has 7 exons. The record is from RefSeq and is a predicted model, not a curated record.
CUGCAACACACAAACCACUGCCAAAGCAAAAAUAGUUAUAAAACAGUUACAAGUCGGAUCGGAAGAUCAACUUGUGCAUAAUUUGUAGUUGGUCUGAUCUGAACCGAUAGCUCCUCCAGUAUCAAUUAAUGGACGCCAGGAAAGCCCAUAAAGCCUCCUCUUCAUCCUCCUCAUCAAAACGUUGGAAGUACCAAGUGUUCUUGAGCUUCAGAGGUGAAGACACACGCAAGGGCUUCACAGGCCACCUCCACGCCGCAUUAUCUGAUGCCGGAAUCAGCGCCUUUCUUGACGACAACGAGCUAGAAAGAGCGGAAUUUAUAAAAACCCAACUGGAGCAGGCAAUCCACGGGUCCAUGAUCUCCAUAAUUGUCUUCUCCAAGAGGUAUACCGAUUCCAGUUGGUGUCUUGACGAGCUGGUGAAGAUCAUGGAGUGUAGAGAAAGAUUGGGGCAACAGGUUAUUCCAUUGUUCUAUAAUGUUGAGGCUUCAGAUGUCCGGAAACAAACUGGUAGUUUUGCACAAGCAUUUGAGAAACAUGAAGCGGGCAUCUGUGAAGGUAAACAUGAGAACGAAAAGGUACAGCGGUGGAGAAAUGCUCUCACUCAAGCUGCAGAUUUGUGUGGGGAAGAUCUUAAAAAUGCUGACAAUGGGCAUGAAGCAAAGUUUAUCAAGAAAAUUCUUGGGGAGGUUAAUAAGCAGUUGUACAGCAAAUGCCAAUUAGACAUCGAACACCUUGUUGGAAUUACUUCUCGGGUGAACGAUUUUGUUCGCAUGAUUGAUAUUGAAAAUUCAGGUUCUAAGGAUGCUGUUCGCAUGAUUGGUAUUUGGGGGAUGGGCGGUAUUGGGAAAACAACGCUUGCCAAAGCCAUUUAUAACAAAUUUGAAGGUAGCUUUGAAGGUAGGAGUUUCCUUGCAAACGUGAGGGAAGUAAUUGCAAACCAACCCAUUACUGGUCUGGUUGGUUUGCAAGAAAAACUUCUAAAUGAUAUCUUGAAAAGCAAGGACCCCAUAAAGGUUGAUUCUGUUGAUGUAGGGAUCAAUGUGAUACAAGAAAGACUUCACUGUAAAAGAGCACUUGUCAUAAUUGACGAUGUAGAUGAAGUACAGAAGCUAAAAGCAAUAGCUAGAAAACGUGAUUGGUUUGGUCCUGGAAGUAGAAUUAUUAUAACAACAAGAGAUAAACAUUUGCUAGAGCAAAUUGGAGUGGAUGGCACAUAUAUGGCUCAAGAAAUGGAUGAAAAAGAAGCUCUCUGGAGCUCUUUGGUAGGCAUGCCUUUAAAAGUGGUUAUGCUAAUCAAGAAUAUCUUGACCUCUCAAAACGUGUAAUUCGUUACUGUCAAGGCUUGCCUCUAGCUAGCACUUGAAGUUGUUGGGUCUUUUCUGAUUAACAGACCCAUAGCAGAGUGGGAAAACCAUUUGGAGAAAUUGGAAAGAAGUCCUGAUGGAGAUAUUCAAAAAAUACUCAGAAAAAGCUUUGACGGGCUACCUGAUGAUACAAAGAGAGAGAUAUUCCUUGAUAUAUCUUGUUUCUUUAUAGGAAUGGACAAGGACUAUGUAACACAAAUAUUAGAUGGAUGUGGCUUUUCUGCAACGAUAGGAAUUAGUGUCCUCAUUGAACGGUGCCUUGUAACUGUUAGUGAGGAAAACAAGCUAAUGAUGCAUGAUUUGCUUCAAGACAUGGGAAGAGAGAUCGUUCGUGAAAAUGCCUGCGGUCACCCUGAAAAAUGUAGUAGAAUGUGGGAACAUGAAGAGGCAACAAAUGUAUUGAGCAAUGAAUCUGGAAGUGAAGAAAUUGAAGGAGUUGCUCUAGAUUGCCAAAAAAGUGAUGCUCCAGAUUGGCUAAAAAGAUGUACUCUACUUUGGGAUUUGCGUCCAGAUUUGACUAGAUUCAGUGCACAAGCAUUUACCAAGAUGAAAAAACUGAGGUUACUCCACCUCAGCAAUGUAGAGCUCACUGGAGAGUUCAAAGAUUUUCCCAAAACGUUAAUAUGGUUGUGCUGGCAUGGAUUCCCUUUAGAGUCCAUACCAGAUGACUUUCCUAUGCAACCAAAACUAGUUGCUUUAGACCUGCGGUGGAGUAAACUCGAAAUAGUUUGGAAGGAUUGCAAGUUGCAUGAGAAGUUGAAAAUCCUUAAUCUCAGUGGUUCCUAUAAGCUAACAAAAUCACCAGACUUUUCAAAACUCCCAAAUCUCGAGGAAUUGAUAUUGCCACGGUGUGGGAGUUUGUCUGAGGUUCACUCAUCCAUCGGGGAUCUUGGAAGACUUUCUCUGGUAAAUCUUCAAGGCUGCACAAUGCUAAAGGAUCUCCCACUGAAUUUCUAUAAAUCCAAGUCUAUUGAAACUCUUCUACUUACUGGUUGUUCAAGAUUUGAAAAGUUGGCUGAGGGCUUAGGGGACAUGGUAUCAUUGACAACUCUGAAAGCGGAUAAGACAGCCAUAAGACAAAUACCAUCUUCCAUAUUAAAAUUGAAGAAACUGAAAGUUUUAUCAUUAUGUAAUGUGAAAGGGUCGCCAUCAACAUAUCUUUUGCCUCCUUCGUUGCAAAGUUUAAGCUCUUUAAGAAAAUUAGCUCUUGCAUACUGGAGUUUAACUGAUGAUGCAUUCCCCAAGGAUCUCGGUAGCCUAAUUUCCUUAGAAAAUUUAGAUCUUGCAGGAAAUGAUUUUUGCAGCCUACCAAGCCUCAGUCGUCUUUCACAGCUUCAAGAUUUGUCUUUAAUUUGGUGCAGCAAUCUUCGUGCAAUCCCAGAUUUACCAACAAAUUUGAAAGUCUUACGAGCAGAUGGCUGCAUUGCAUUGGAAAAAAUGCCAGAUUUUUCAGAAAUGUCAAAUAUAAGAGAAUUGUAUCUACGUAAUUCAGGCAAACUCACUGAGAUUCCAGGCCUGUAUAAGUCAUUAAACUCCAUGACAAGGAUUCAUAUGGAGAAGUGCACUAAACUCACUGCCGAUUUUAGGAAGAACAUCCUACAGGGAUGGACUUCUUGCGGAUAUGGUGGCAUUUUUCUCAGUGGAAAUGAUAUUCCUGAUUGGUUCGACUAUGUCCAUGACGAUGAUAUUGUGUAUUUCACUGUGCCUCGAAGUGUUGGUCGUAAUUUGAAAGGGUUAACUUUGUCCUUCGUUUCUCUCCAGUCUUUUUAAGUCGUCGUAUUAGCAUUAGCAUUAAAAACAUGACCAAGGGUGCUGAGCUUGAAGCCAGGAU